Long non-coding RNA from Melospiza melodia melodia, 3493 nucleotides. RefSeq lists it as uncharacterized. The record is from RefSeq and is a predicted model, not a curated record. NCBI's taxonomy places the organism in Eukaryota, Metazoa, Chordata, Aves, Passeriformes, Passerellidae. The transcript has 4 exons.
UUUCCUCAUGAAUCUUUUUUUUUUUUUUUCCUGUGUGUGUUUUGAAUUGCAUUUUAAAAUUGCCCAGCUGGAGACAAGGCUUGAUUAGAGCUGGAACAAUAGCUCCCUUUUAUUAAUAACGGGAAGGAUUUACAAUCGUACAGCACCUUCCUUGGAAAGCUUUCCAAACCAUUUGCAAACACUCACAAAUUUCAGAUUGCGCAGCCCUUGGCUGUGAGGUGGUCCCUAAGUGACCUCCUGCAGCGCUGCCUCCGCUGCGGUUCCAACACGGCCUUGCACUGGAGCACUGAUGUGUGUCCCUGUGGAGUGACCUUGCUGGGGGGACUGGGCCCACCGAGCGAUUCAGUGCUGGAAUCUGCAUUGGCAGGUGUGCAAAUGUGGAGACUGUAACAGCAGCAAGUGAGGAUGGAUGAGGUGUUUUCUGGGGUCAUAUCCAAUUCCAGAGAAGAAACCCUGGUGAUUUAUAAUUUUUUUCUUGUAGAUUUUAUUCUGAGCUCCACUGUAUCUUGUGAGAAGACUGAGUUUGACCCUUUUGGCUACUAAAAAUGGUUCUGUUUUUAAACCUUGGUGCUUUUCCGCUUCCCUGUGGUCAUGCAGAAGAGCAAGCAGUGCAAUUAAACAGUACAGCAAAGGGCAGCUCCCUCCCCCUUUCCCUUUCAAAAAAUCCAGAGUUGUGUGUCUUGAACUGCUGCAUAGGCAGAAAACAUACAAAGCCCUUGUCAGCAUUGUGCUGAUGUGUGGCACGUUAAAAAAAAUACACACAAAAGGGGUGGGGAGAGCUGGUGCCUCCAGGGAGCAAAAUUGUGGGGCCCCUUUCCCUCCAAGCCCACAGACCUACGUGGGAUAGUCUUUUCCUCCUAAUUUUGCUCAGGUUGGAGGGAGUGUUGAACAUCUUAAAUGGUGUUGAUGAGGAUCAGGGUCUCCUUGAAUUACAUUUUGUUUUCUCUGUGAACUUGCUCCCGUGAGAUGCAGCUGGUUUAUUACUCCAUUCCUCAGAGUGCCAGGAAGAAGGGAAACGCUUCCUUACCGAGUGUCCUUUCCUUUGUUUUGUUGCAAAGGUGAUAACCACAGACGUGGUGCUGGUUUCUGCCGGGUCACACAUGGCUGGGAGGCGCAGCUUCCCGCAGUCAUUAGCACACAGGGAGUGCUGGGGGUCGUUAAAUGAGGAUAUCACAUCGGGAUUCCAUGCAUGCCGCUGCCUGACCCGGCCCUGGAGAAGCCCCUCAGGAGAAAUUAUUUCACUGACUGCUUGCUGCAGGGAUUUCUAGCACAGCUAUGGCUUUAUCCUUUUUUUUUUUUUUUUGGCCAAAAUGAAGUGCAGGGUGGGGAUGAGGUGGCCAGGCCAGGUUUCAUACCCUGCUCCCUACGGUAGGUGUGUGAACAGUGUGCCUAAAGCCUUGUUUGGAAUAAGGCAGCGUGGACAGGGAUUUGGAUUUCAUUCCCUCAUUAGGGCUGUGCUGGUUUGGAGAUGCACCUUGUACUCUUCAUGGGCCUUUGCUGGCAGGGAGGUUUGGAGGAGCAAGAAGCUGCCUGUUGGGAUGAUUCCACAUUUUUCAGGCUGGCACACCCUGUGGGACUCUAAAUUACUUUCCUUUGGCAGUUUAGGAUAAACUGAGAAUUGCCUUGUGAGCACUGAACUUUUACCACCCUGAAGAGUUACUCGAGCUACAUCCAUGAUAUUUCCAAGCUAAACAAAACCUGAAUUUCCAGUGCCAAAAAGCAAUACAAACCUCCACUCCUCCUCUGUUCAGGAGAAAACCACAGUCUUUCAAGCUUUGCUCUUAGCCCAAGGAGUUAAAAAGCUGCACUGUGAGAUCUGCAGAGGUGAAAAUAAAAGCCAAAGGCAGACGAGGAACUUCUCCCAUGCCGUGUUGGAGGAGAGGCUGUAGAGCACAGCAGGUGUUGAUGCACAAAUAUUUCUCUUUGUGCUUUCUCUGGAGUGAAGGAGUGCUAACUGCACAGACAUGGGGUCACUCCUCUUCAUUUAAACACCCUCGUGUUGCUGUGGUAUCAAAAUGGUGUUUGAUGCAACCAAAGCUCAGAUCAUGGUGGCUUGGAGUUUAUUUUGUGCUGCUCAAUCCAAUGCAGAAUGUGAGGAGAGCAGCCUCUGUCUUGCAGGUUUGGACUGUGGGGCUUGUCCUGUAACAUUUCCAGUGUAAUUUCUGAGAUUUUUUUUUUCUCCUGGGCAUUGCACACAGGUAAAUAUCACAUCUGGAUGUAGAUUUAAUACAACAAUUAAGUGUUAAAAAUGGCAAAGUAUAGGAUUCUGUGAUCUAACCAGUCCUAGGGGAUUUACAUCCUUUGCAGUUGUCCUGUUUGGGUAUCAAAUCACAUAGAGCUGUCUUUUUUCUGUUUAUUUUCUUUGGCUUUUCCUUAAAAUGUGAUCUUUUGCAGCCUGGAUGGCCACAGUCCUGUCUAGUGAUGAAAGCCCUGUGUUUGGGGAGAACCCUUGUGAGUGUGUAUCCCAAAGGCUGAGGGUCAUGGAGAGCAGCUCAGCUCCCCUUGUCCUGAGUUGUUUGGCCCCUGGGAAGGGCAGCACGCAGGGCAGUGCAGCUGUGCCUCACCCCUUGGCGCUCCUCACGCUGUCACUCAUGGAGAACACUGGGCUGGCACAAAUGUGUGUCCUGCAGACACAAGGAUGGUGUUGGUCCUUCAUCACAGCCCCUCUGACCUGCUCAGGGGAGGGUUGUACCUGCUCUGCUCUCCAGCCUGGGGCUGUGUUCUUUAAAAUCAUCGACUGAGCUGUGGGGAUCUGGUUACAUCAGCAUCGCUGGUGUGGUUGCAACCAGGAACAGCUUCCCUGCAAAGCAUUUGAAGAGUAUCACCAUGGUCCAGAGCUUUGUUUUGCGUCACCAGCCGAGCUUUGUGCUGCUCUUCCAGCUGGCUGUUGUGUAAAUGGAGCCCUCCUGGCGCUGGUCUCAACCCUCUCCUGUCAACAGAGUCGAUGGCUUUGUUUGUGACAGCUCCCAGCCCCUGCGUGUCCUGUGAGAUGGCCGGGUGACAGCAGUGACUCCGUGUGAGAUUCCCUGGAAGCACCUGGGAGCUGCUGUGGUUUCCUCGUGUGUCCCUUGGAGGUGCCACCCCAGCGGGGAGGAAGAACAGUUGGGAUUGCAGCUGCAGCAAGUGCACCCCAUCGGAGGAGGAGAAUUUUUCAUGGAAGAGCUGUUUGAUUUUUUUGGUGGUUUUUUGGUUUGGGUUUUUCCUCUCUGAAAUGGAGAGCCCCUUAAAGGUAGACACAGGUACAAACUGCUCCUUGGGCUUCCCAUCAGGUAAAGAAAUGGAAAGCUGAGCCCAGCUCCUCACUGGAAGCGCCGGUGGAGCGUGUUGGCAGCGCAUUUUCUGGUGUGCACGUGGCUCCAUCACACGUUGUGAAUAAUAGAUGGCUUGCGUGCAAGGAAUUGUUGGGGUUUUUAAUUAAUCAGCAGAUCCCAGUUUGGCAGAGCCCAUCAUCACUGGGGAAACUGAGGCACGGGGCUGCCGAAGGAUGGGCUUG